Patiria miniata (bat star) is the source of this 575-nucleotide long non-coding RNA. RefSeq lists it as uncharacterized. The record is from RefSeq and is a predicted model, not a curated record. Lineage: Eukaryota; Metazoa; Echinodermata; Asteroidea; Valvatida; Asterinidae. The transcript is spliced from 3 exons.
UGUUGCCCUCGUGCGAAGCGGCUGGGGCUUAUGGCUUAUGUCCUUGCAUUUACACAGGUACAGCAUCUUUGUCCCACACCAAACUGAUGCCUGGUUUGAAUCCUAAAAAACCUGCCGCUUGAUGUCAACUUGUUUGUUCUGCCACAUCUGGACACGCGCGGCCUCUGAGCAUUCAUGCUCUGAUGAUCAGUCAAGCUUGCUGAGUCUGUUACCGGUCUCAUAUCAAGGCCAUCCCAGUGUGGACCUCCUCGUCAAGUCUUUCCGGAACCAGAUCUACGGUGCUGCCAGUAGUUCCUCACUCACACCUCUCCGCUAACUGAAAAGAACUGGUUUCACUACGCAGGGAGGACAUGGGAGACCAUCGAGAAAUCCAGCCUCAUGUCAGAGUUGAACAGACUUCUAACCUGAGGGUUUCUUUUCCUGGAUGAAUAACGGACCCUCUGUUUCAGUGGAAAACACGCUGUUGGCCAAGAAUAAAGGCUGUAUUUUUCUUGUUGAUGAAAAUGGAGUUCAUUCAUUUAUAGAGACUACAACUGAGCCCUUUUUCUGGGGUUUUGUGAUGACAAAAAAUAUGG